UUAAUUGAAACCAAAAAGAGGUAUAUCACUGUUAAUGAUACUAUUGAAUUAAUUUAAAUUCCAAUUAGA
RNAcentral lists this transfer RNA (69 nucleotides) under Parantica sita. RNAcentral describes it as "tRNA-Asn". RNAcentral also lists the same sequence under 1 other name. Lineage: Eukaryota; Metazoa; Arthropoda; Insecta; Lepidoptera; Nymphalidae. The record is from RNAcentral.